RNAcentral lists this ribosomal RNA (726 nucleotides) under Gryllus bimaculatus (two-spotted cricket). RNAcentral's name for it is "partial 28S ribosomal RNA". Lineage: Eukaryota; Metazoa; Arthropoda; Insecta; Orthoptera; Gryllidae. The record is from RNAcentral.
AAAGUUGAAAAGAACUUUGAAGAGAGAGUUCAAGAGUACGUGAAACCGCCCAAGGGGAAACAGAAGGUAAUUGAGUAAACUAGCCCGGGGAAACUCAUCACCGUUCGCUUGCACGCUCGAGCUACCCGACCGCUGCGCGGCCGCAGACUAGCUUUGCUAUCUCGUCGGUCUCCCGCAGAGCCCGGUCGGGCGUAUCAUGCUCUGAGCGGGGGAAACGGAACCCCCGCGAGUCUGUUUGAGGGCGGUGUGCACUUUUCCUUCGCCAUAGUGCGUCGCGAUCCGUCGGUCGGCGGCCAAAGGCCCGGGGUUAUUAUCGGCGCGGCGGGACGUGUCAAGCGUUUCUUCGUGCCGAGUCCCCGGUGUGCGCACGGCGGGCGGCUUCACAGCGCCCGCUGCCCGCUUUCCCGGCCGCCGUGUAAGCCCGCCCUGUAGCGGGGCGGCAGUUACGACGGUCAUGAAAUACGUGGAAGACGUCUCGACCGUCACCUACCCCGUCGCGAGACGGGCGAGGGGGCGGCGGGCCUCUCCGGACCUUGGCUUCGGCCCUUCACAAGCGCGGAACGCGGUGGUUAGCUAGCGCGCGGCGGGCGGCCCGAAGGGGUUUCGUCCUCGCGCGUAUCCCAUCGACACGUUCGCGCGGUGACAGGAGAGGGGGGCUUGAGUGAAUAACUCGUCUCGGAUCAACCGGCGGCGUAAGUCUCAGUCUACUUUCCGACCCGUCUUGAA